RNAcentral lists this transfer RNA (92 nucleotides) under Fusarium vanettenii 77-13-4. RNAcentral's name for it is "tRNA-Ser for anticodon UGA". It matches the Rfam family "tRNA". Rfam says of the family: Transfer RNA (tRNA) molecules are approximately 80 nucleotides in length. Their secondary structure includes four short double-helical elements and three loops (D, anti-codon, and T loops). The record is from Rfam by way of RNAcentral. Lineage: Eukaryota; Fungi; Ascomycota; Sordariomycetes; Hypocreales; Nectriaceae.
GACGAAGUGUCCGAGUGGUUUAAGGAGUGAGACUUGAAAUCUCUUGAUAUCUCAUGGCUUCGGCCGCGCAGGUUCGAACCCUGUCUUCGUCG